Molecule: transfer RNA, 77 nt
Filed under: Rhizobium sp. MHM7A
Lineage: Bacteria; Pseudomonadati; Pseudomonadota; Alphaproteobacteria; Hyphomicrobiales; Rhizobiaceae
Description: tRNA-Pro
Rfam family: tRNA
About the family: Transfer RNA (tRNA) molecules are approximately 80 nucleotides in length. Their secondary structure includes four short double-helical elements and three loops (D, anti-codon, and T loops).
Source: RNAcentral
CGGAGCGUAGCGCAGUCAGGUAGCGUAUCAUCUCGGGAAGGUGAGGGUCGCAGGUUCAAGUCCUGCCGUUCCGACCA